Molecule: non-coding RNA, 364 nt
Organism: Pelobates cultripes (western spadefoot toad)
Lineage: Eukaryota; Metazoa; Chordata; Amphibia; Anura; Pelobatidae
Source: the annotation of a GenBank genome assembly
UGCUUUCGUGGAGGCAGCCAGGCGUUCCCUUGUUUCAGCGGUGUUCGACAGAAAAAGUGUCCGUUUUCCGUUCCAUAGAAAUAGAGCCAAACACCGCUGAGCGUUCGCAUGAUUUAAAAUGGCCGCUGCCUCGUGGUCGACAUACGAACGACGACCACCCUGAGUUCGGUUUAAUUGAGAAGUGUCUGCGGUUAACCACAACGUUAUAAUGGUGAUCACUUCGUUAACCUGCAGCACACUCCUCACUUGGGUGGCCGUUCGUUCGGCAGAUUUGUUCGGGAAAAAGAGUCAUUCGAAUGGCUGGGCUAUAGAAACCAGCCAUUCAUACGAACGGGGACAAACAGACGAACGGGCAAAAAUCCAG